This is a long non-coding RNA of Cynara cardunculus var. scolymus (artichoke), 480 nucleotides long. RefSeq lists it as uncharacterized. The transcript has 2 exons. Lineage: Eukaryota; Viridiplantae; Streptophyta; Magnoliopsida; Asterales; Asteraceae. The record is from RefSeq and is a predicted model, not a curated record.
GCAAGGUGUUGAUUGGUGGAUAAGGAGAGACAUGAAGUUUGGGAACAAGAUAUCUUCGAUUAAUGGAGCAAACUCGAAUUGUAUAGUUAGAUAAGAUUUAAAUGACGUUGGCAGUUUAUCAUGCAUAUGAUGCCAAGCGGAUACAGAAAUUAGCGGUUGCCUUCAUGGAUCAAUGGGGAAAAGAAACGAAAAGACGUCCAAACUUAAAACAGACAUAACAUUUGUUAGGGCUAAAACAGUCCUAAGUAUUAGAAAGUUUUAUAAAGUCAGUUAUUUUGUAUUAUAUUGUAAUCUUCAUGUAAUUGGGCUUAAGGGCAAUGGGCUUUACUUGUAAAUGUCACCUAUAAAUACGUGACACGGGUUUAGAAUUUGAAGUUCAUUUUGUCACUUCAAUGGGAGUCGUGUAAGGUGAUUGAGAGAUUUUGUACUUUACUGUUUUCAUGAAUAAGAAAAGUUGGUCGGUUCUUCAAGUUCGUGAUC